RNAcentral lists this ribosomal RNA (471 nucleotides) under uncultured bacterium. RNAcentral describes it as "bacterial SSU rRNA". It matches the Rfam family "Bacterial small subunit ribosomal RNA", at positions 335 to 798 of the family's 1533-position model. The record is from RNAcentral.
ACUCCUACGGGAGGCAGCAGUGGGGAAUAUUGGACAAUGGGCGCAAGCCUGAUCCAGCCAUGCCGCGUGUGUGAAGAAGGCCCUCGGGUUGUAAAGCACUUUCAGUGAGGAAGAAAGCUUGUCGGUUAAUACCCGGCAAGGACGACAUCACUCACAGAAGAAGCACCGGCUAACUCCGUGCCAGCAGCCGCGGUAAUACGGAGGGUGCGAGCGUUAUCCGGAUUUAUUGGGUUUAAAGGGUCCGUAGGCGGAUUAAUAAGUCAGUGGUGAAAUCCCAUCGCUUAACGAUGGAACUGCCAUUGAUACUGUUAGUCUUGAAUGAGGGUGCAGUGGUUGGAAUGUGUAGUGUAGCGGUGAAAUGCAUAGAUAUUACACAGAACACCGAUUGCGAAGGCAGAUCACUAACCCUAAAUUGACGCUGAGGGACGAAAGCGUGGGGAGCGAACAGGAUUAGAUACCCUGUAGGCUCUG